GAAAUGACUCAUUCCAAGCACAAAUCAAGGAAUUAUAGUUACAUUUUUUUGAAUUCAAGAAGUUCCUAAUAUCUCGCCCCCGUCUCUUAAAUUAUCACCACCGAACACACUCUCUCUCAUCUUUUCUCUAAAAAAUCGAACGCUAUUUGCAAGUAAACAACACCUCUUUCUGUGAAAACCCUAGAUAUCGUCACUUCUUCAUCAACUGCCGUCUCCACCACCACGAAAUUCUUUGCUAUUAUCAGUCUUCUCUCUCAUAUUCUGGUUAUAAAUUACAUAUUUGCUCUUAACUUGGUUUUUAUUGUAUUGUGUAGGUCAAAUGUAUCAAAACAAUAUCAAAUGAGAGCUCUUAACUCAGUUUUCCUGGUCCCCCUCCUCUCUCUCUCUCUCUCUCUCUCUAUAUAUAUAUAUAUAUAUAUAUAUAUAUAUAUAUAUGUGUGUGUAUAUAUUUCUCUUUCGCUUUUGUUUUUUGUUUUUAUUUUUUCAUUUUUUGGUUGUUUUAAAAUGAUUGUCAGAUAUACAUAACAAAUGGAGUGAUGUUAUUUUUAAAUAAUGCGGAAAAUCAUAAAUUGUUGAUAGAUACUUUCUAAUUGAGCGUUGAUAGUAGGUUUCAUGGACGUUGGGGACACUUGGUGCAAACCCAAAAGAUGAAGGUGCAACGAUUUUAGAACAUGCCACGAUUUUAAGACCUUGUCAUUACUGACGAUCCUGAUUUCAAGGUAAGCAAUGCUUGUUUUUUUGUUUUCAUAGUAAAGAUUUUGUUGAAAUAAUCAACAGUCCAAAAACCCAUUGAGAUGAUAUCGUGUUAAUGACAUUCUAUUUAAAACAAAUUGUAUUGUAUAGAAGUUAAUUAUCUGUUGUUUCUUUUUACAAUAUUACAUUUACCAAAUGGAACACUUUCUUCUGCUGAAAACAAGUUUGAUGAUAAAAUAUAAUCUUCUUCUGCUAAAAUUUAUUUUUAUUACUAUAUAUGAACAACUGCUACAUCAGCAAAAUAAGUUGCAGGGUUAUGUGAGAAGAUGUCAAAAUACAACCUGUUCCCCCUUUUCUCGACUAGCAUUGGCAUCUAUCUAUCACUCCAACAUUGAUCUCCAUAAAUAGCAUCUCAUGUUAAUGAUCAAUUUCAACUAAUCAAACAUAUUAUUUAAGGUAAGAGAGGUGAAAGGAAUCUCAUUCCUACAUCAGGUUUGCUUUUGGAUUUACAUCUAAAAUAGAUUUUCGAGUUCAACAUGACUUUAUCAAUGUAUACAUACACCAUGAUCAUGUGUAACUUUUCUAAUUUUGCAGCUGCUGGAGAUAUUGCUUCUGGAAAAGACCUCAAGAAUUGUCUAUAUGUUAUCUCAUACAUCAAUCACUGCUACACCUUUUUGACAUUGGUCCAUCAAAAUGAGGAGUUUCACGGUAGGGUAGGGUAGGGCUGAGAAAGAAAUUUGAGGUUCAAGAUAAUGAAAUCAAGUAAUGUUUGUUCAAACAAAUGGAGGUUAUGGUGGUGCUUAGCUGUAACAUGUGACAACGAGUAAUGGUUAGCAUAGAGUGAAACCAGUGGUUUAAUGUCUGGUGGUGUUAAAUGGUGGUCCGACUAAGUGGCUUACUGUGAUGGUGGGUGUAUGUUGAUGACCGGAUAUGAUGUGGAUGGUUUAUAUCUUGAAAUAACACAAUAAUUAUAUAGUUGUUUAUGAGAUAGUGAGAUCAUCUGUUUCUUGUUGUUGGGAUCAGUUGAUUAUAUAGAUCUUUGAUUGUAGAUGAUGUUUUUUUACAGAGCAAUAAAAUGAAGGGAUUGAAGUGGAAGAA
Long non-coding RNA from Lactuca sativa (garden lettuce), 1791 nucleotides. RefSeq lists it as uncharacterized. The record is from RefSeq and is a predicted model, not a curated record. NCBI's taxonomy places the organism in Eukaryota, Viridiplantae, Streptophyta, Magnoliopsida, Asterales, Asteraceae.